Molecule: ribosomal RNA, 433 nt
Filed under: uncultured bacterium
Lineage: Bacteria
Description: partial 16S ribosomal RNA
Rfam family: Bacterial small subunit ribosomal RNA
Source: RNAcentral
AACGAACGCUGGCGGCAUGCCUAACACAUGCAAGUCGAACGAGACCUUCGGGUCUAGUUGCGCACGGGUGCGUAACGCGUGGGAACCUGCCCUUAGGUUCGGAAUCACUCCCCGAAAGGGGUGCUAAUACCGGCUAAUGUCUUCGGACCAAAGAUUUAUCGCCUUUGGAUGGGCCCGCGUUGGAUUAGCUAGUUGGUAGGGUAAAAGCCUACCAAGGCGACGAUCCAUAGCUGGUCUGAGAGGAUGAUCAGCCACACUGGGACUGAGACACGGCCCAGACUCCUACGGGAGGCAGCAGUGGGGAAUAUUGGACGAUGGGAGAAAGCCUGAUCCAGCAAUGCGGGGUGAGUGAUGAAGGCCUUAGGGUUGUAAAGCUCUUUUACCCGGGAUGAUAAUGACAGUACCGGGAGAAUAAGCUCCGGCUAACUCCGUG